This 202-nucleotide long non-coding RNA is filed under the name Gossypium raimondii (Peruvian cotton). RNAcentral describes it as "long non-coding RNA (GRAI_LNC008262)". Lineage: Eukaryota; Viridiplantae; Streptophyta; Magnoliopsida; Malvales; Malvaceae. The record is from RNAcentral.
CUUUAUCCUCUCAUCUAUACACUUUGGCCCAAUUAUUAUCCAUAAAUAUCUUGCCUCACUAAUUACCAUUUUUGACCUUUAUUAUCUUUACAAUUUCCAUGCAUGAAUCAUAUUUUAUUUAGUAAAAUUUCUUCCUAAUCCUUCCUUGUUUUCCAUCAAAUCCUAUGUUUCUAACUUAAAUUUUUAAUUUUCACUCUUUUUC